GCUGGCGGCGUGCCUAACACAUGCAAGUCGAACGAAGCUCGAUCUUCUGAGAUUUCGGUCAAAGAGGAAAGAUGACUUAGUGGCGGACGGGUGAGUAAUGCGUGAGCAACCUGCCUCGGAGAGGGGGACAACAGUUGGAAACGACUGCUAAUACCGCAUGAUGUACAGAGAGGGCAUCCUUUUUGUACCAAAGAUUUAUCGCUCUGAGAUGGGCUCGCGUCUGAUUAGUUAGUUGGUGGGGUAACGGCUCACCAAGACUGCGAUCAGUAGCCGGACUGAGAGGUUGAACGGCCACAUUGGGACUGAGAUACGGCCCAGACUCCUACGGGAGGCAGCAGUGGGGAAUAUUGGGCAAUGGGCGCAAGCCUGACCCAGCAACGCCGCGUGAAGGAAGAAGGCUUUCGGGUUGUAAACUUCUUUUAUGAGGGACGAAGGACGUGACGGUACCUCAUGAAUAAGCCACGGCUAACUACGUGCCAGCAGCCGCGGUAAUACGUAGGUGGCGAGCGUUAUCCGGAUUUACUGGGUGUAAAGGGCGCGUAGGCGGCGAAGCAAGUCAGAUGUGAAAUCCAUGGGCUCAACCCAUGAACUGCAUUUGAAACUGUUUCUCUUGA
Molecule: ribosomal RNA, 614 nt
Filed under: uncultured rumen bacterium
Lineage: Bacteria
Description: bacterial SSU rRNA
Rfam family: Bacterial small subunit ribosomal RNA
Source: RNAcentral